This 23082-nucleotide long non-coding RNA is filed under the name Malus domestica (apple). RNAcentral's name for it is "long non-coding RNA (MDOM_LNC009843)". The record is from RNAcentral. Lineage: Eukaryota; Viridiplantae; Streptophyta; Magnoliopsida; Rosales; Rosaceae.
UGGAGCUGAGUGCCGGCUGGUAUUGGUCCUUCAAGAUUAUUGUAUGCAACAGUAAAUGUAGACAAGAAAUGGAGAUUUGAUAGUGAUGAUGGGAUUUCGCCUGACAGACGGUUACUGUUGAGUUCUAAUCUCUCCAACUUUGGGAGGUUGGCUAUUUGGUCUGGAAUGUUGCCAGAGAAGUUGUUGAUGCUUAGAUCCAGUUGUUGAAGAAAUUGCAAUUGGCCGAUCUCAAAGGGUAUGCUGCCUCUUAAACUGUUGUUCCUGAGGGAGAUUACUCUUGGCAUGUUGGGCAGAUAUUUGUACUGUGAAGCCAGCACAGUUGCAUUAUUACCGCGUUGAAAGUAGACGGGCAACUCAAGAGAACAAUGGCCUGUUUCAUUCGCAGCCUUUUGCGAUACUAAUGCUUGUAGUCUGCAAAGCUCCUUUGGAAAUUCACCCGAAAUCAAGUUGUCAUUCAACAACAAAAAGAAAAGAUGCGGAAGAGUCCCCAACCAACCAGGUAUUGUGCCAGUGAGUCUGUUAAAAGACAAAUCCAGGACUUCCAGUUUCCCGAGCUUUGAAAUCCAUGCAGGUAUGUGUCCUGUCAUAUGACACAUAAGUAAACUGAAAACACACAGAUUUUGUAACCCGGAAUCGACAGUUAUAUCCCCAUCUGGCAUUUCUUCACCUUUAAAAUUUUUUGCAAGAAGGAGCACCUUGAGAGUUUUGAAACCCGUCAGUAUCUUCAUUGCCCCCGUGACAUUGGUGAGUCUGUUACGAGAAAGUGAGAGGAAGGUCAAGUUUUUCAAUUGAAGAAUCUCAGGUUGGAUUUGGCCCUCGAAAUCAUUUGUAGCCAGUCGAAGUGCUUUGAGGGACUUGCAUGAGUAGAGGCUUAUUGGCAAGGUACCAGUGAGAUUAUUACUUAUACAAUCUAGUUUACUAAGAUGAGUAAGUUUAGAGAAAUUGAGGGCAGAGAUAUUCCCACUAAAACGGUUGAAUCCCAGAUUUAUUUCAACAAGGUUUGUGCAAUUCAUCAGAGAUGAGGGCAGAUGACCUUCGAGAUUGUUGUAUUGAAGGCGCAUGAGCUUUAAUUUGGAGAGCUUCCCAACAUUCUUACUGAUGGGUCCCACAAGCCCAUUGGUAGAUAAUGAAAUUUCUUGAAGUGCCUGAGCAUUGUAGAUAUCAGUAGGGAGGGAUCCUGAGAGAGUAUUGUCGCCAGCACGAAAUACCUCCAACUCGGAACAGUUUCCAAGUCCGGGAGGAAUUGGGCCACUGAAAUUAUUGUGGGAGAAAUCCAAGACUCUAAGCGAGGAUGAACGAAGACAGGUAGAGGAAGGUAUUUGGCCUGUAAAGUGAUUAUUGCUGACAUUCAAACUGCUCAAAUUCCAGGCAUGCUGGAGGAAUGAAGAUGGAAUUGUUCCGUUGAAUUGAUUGCUUGAAAAAUCAACUAUUUGGAUGUAACUUGAUGAUAAAGACAUUGGUAUUUCUCCGGAGAAAAGGUUAUAGCUCAAAUCAAGAAUCUCAAGGCGACUCAAGGACAAGAACAUCCCGGCUUCAAGAGAGCCGGAAAGCAGAUUGUGGGAGAGAUUGAGGUGCGAAAGAAGCUUAAGGUUUCCAAGUGAUGAAGGAAAAGUACCUCCUGUGAGGCCCUUGGAUGGCAACCGCAAUUGGAUGAUCCAACCGUUCUGAUUACAUGUGAUGCCUUCCCACUGGCAACAAUCAACUGAAGCAGUCCAGUUCAAUGCCGGGGAAGACAGAGAGCUCGCAAAGGACUUGAGGGCGCUGCGUUCGGUUAGAUCACAUGCAUGUAUUGUGAAUAAAAUGGAAGAAAACAAGAGGAUGAGAAGGAAGCCAUGAGAGAAUGGAUGAUCCAUCUCAGGUUCAGAUUACUCACAGGUUUUCUUCUGCACUCGUAGAUAGGUAUGCAUAUAUGUCUGAAUCUGCAGAGUAUAUAUACACGUCUUCCGCUUGACUUCAAAGUCAUGACAAGAAAUUCCAUGUUGGUAAGACUCAUGACUUCAAAGUCGUUGAAAGAUUCUUUUAUCUCUUAGUCUUUGGAUUUAAAGGAAACAAAAAAAUUAGAAGGGACGGCUCUGCUUUUCUUUGAGGCUCUGUCUCUGUUUGUUUCUGCAUGACAAGAAAUUCCAUGUUAGUAAUAGUCAUGACAGCGAAGUGAAUAUAACAAGUGAUGCAUUAAUAAAGAAGAAUUGGUACAUUAUAAAUAAAUUAGGGUACAUAUAAAAGAUUAAAAAAUUAUGAGUACAAAUGAAAUUUUAAAAAAAUAUAGACACUAAAAGAAAUUAAUACAUGGGUACAAAAUAAAACUAAAAAGAAAAUACUACAAAUUUAAAAAAAAUGUUGCAAAUUAAAAGUGGGUACAAAUUAAAAAUAUAAAUAUAUGAUACAAAGUUUAGGCAUAAAACAUAAAUAUACCAUAUGUAAUUUUUCUAUCAUUAAUUAAAUAAACAAUGUCACGUGACAGUAUACACAUGGGUACAAACACAAAUAAAACUUUAAAAAAUAUGGACACAAAAAGAAACUAAUAUAUGGGUACAAAUUAAAAAUGAAAAAAAAAUUGGUACAAACUAAAAAUAAAAAUAUAUGAUAAAAAUUUAGCCAUAAAUAUAAAUAUACUAAUUGUAACAUUUUUAACACUAAAGGAAUAUAUUUAAAAAUAAAAAUAUUUUAUUAUUCAAAUAAUUAAUGAUAUUAUUAAUACUCUAGGACCUUGAUCAAAAAUUAAAAAUGAAUAAGAUUUUAAUUAAUGAAGUGAACCUAAUUUCUUUUAUAUUAUAUUAUAUAUUAUUUUAGUAGAUUUUGGGAAUUGAGGCAACGACUUCAAAGUCGUUGAAAGAUUCUGUAAUCUCUUAGUCUUUGGUUUGACUUUAGGCUGUAGCUUUCUUAGAUUUAAAGGAAACACCAAAGUUAGAAAGGACGACUGCUUUUCUUUGAGGCUCUGUCACUGUUUGUUUCUGCAUAAAUCAGCGAGCAAAAAUUCAUCAAAUUUGAUGUCGAUUAAAAUUUCAGGUUUUUGUUUUAGGUGAAGAGGAGCAAGAUUCAAACUUUUUCACCGAGUGGAGGUAAGUACCCUACCACUUGAUUUGCCCCACAAUUGUUUAUUUUUGUUUUUUGAUUUUUUGGGAAAAAGGAAUAUUAUGAUGUGAAAUAACCCUAAAUUAUGGAGACUUCUAGGUGAAAGACUGAUAAAUUUAUUGAAACGGGUUGAAGUUUCACCAUACAACUAAUUGACAAUAUGAGGAGUAACCUAACCUACUUAAUAUAAGAUUCAGUCUCAAUACUUACAAUUUUCACAUACAUCUUCCAUGUACUUUGUAUUAUUACUUGCACUAAUUUGAAAGCGGGACCCGUGAAGUAUCUGGUCAACGGCAGUGCAUUGAGGUCUUGGACGAAGACUCCGAUAGUGAUGCUAGGAUUCUGUCGGAUAGAUGAUUUCCGAGAGGUCUGAAUCGUCUCUCCAAGUUGGUGAGGCUGGAAUCUGGUAUGGAAUGAUGCCAAAGAAGUUGUCGUCGCUAAGAUCCAUUACAUAUGUAGAAGAUAAAUAAGUGUAGAAAAUGUAGAUAGACUUCAAAGCAUCAGUUGCACAACGGGGUCCAUACAAGGUUUUUGGAUUAUUCCUUUCCGACUUUGAUGACUUUAGAGACAGGGCAUCAAAGUUAUAGACAGUUCAUCAGCUUACUACUGAUCAAACAAAAUACUGAUCGCAUGUGCAAACCAAUAGUUGGGCCAAUCUGCAACUUUAGCGUUUUAAAUUCAUUCUUUCAAUUCGGGUAAAGACAAUCUAGUGCCCCAACUGAGGUUUUUAACUUUUUGAUGCAGGGCAUGCUUCAAUUGAGGUUUUAGAGACUGUUUAUUAGCUCACUACUAAUCGAACAUUGACAUUGACCACAUGUGCAAACCAAUAUAUAGUUGGGUUAACUUGAGACUUUAGCGUUUUAACAAAUUUAUUGUCCCAAUUAAGGAAGAGACAAUCUAGUGAGUCACUACUAAUGAACCGAGGUUUUCUAGGUUUUUGAUGUGAGACAUGGUUGGUUGAGGUUGAAAAUAAAAAUGUAAAUACUUGCAAAAAUCAAAUAUAACAAUUAAAACUCCCAUACUAUUGAAUCAUGCGUAGCAUAAAAGCCACACCGGUAAGACAUGUUUCAACUCGGGUUUUCAAAUCUUGCACUAAGAGAUAGUGAGCCCUGUUUUUCAAUUCAUAUUAAUUCACACGUCCCUUCUAUCGUUGUAGUUUUCACUAAAAAAGUAGGUUUAAAAGGUAGGUGGGUUUAAAUAUUUGUCCACAAUAUUUGAAAUUUGAAGUCUUUGCUUUCAUGUACACAAUAUAUUGACUGAAAAAUCAGUAGUAGUGAGUGAAAAUAGUUCACAUUAGAUGGCUUACAUACUUUUUUUUGGUAAAAAAGAAGGUUUUACAUACUUUGACAAUGAGUACCACAAUACUUGUAAUCACUAGACAGGUUUUUAGAUGCAAUCAAGUUAAGGAAAUUCGUGCAUAACGUAAAUAGGAGCCACUCAAUGAUAAUUUCUUGCAGUUUUCACUUUUAUUAAAAAAUGAAACUUAAUAUAGAUUUGGUAACUGUUUUUAGUUUUCAAAAAAUGAAAAUUGACAGUUAAUUUUUUGAGUUUUCAAAAUGGGAGGUGCAUAUUGUCACUUAGUAUUACGGUUUAAUGGUAUUUCUUUUCAUUUGUAAGUGAAACGUUUUAGAUUCAAUUCUCGCCAAAGGAGAAUUUGAAUCACAGUAUUACUACCACUAAACCGUAUUACUAAGUGACUAUUUCUAGCUAUUAGAUUGAAUAAACCAAACAGAAUCCACAACCAUAGUUAAACAUGAGUAUGUAAAUAGCUAAAUUGUGUGCAAUUGUCAAUUUCCUUCAAAAUUUGGCUUUUUUUUACUUGGUUUUUUUAAUUUAACUUUUUUGAAAAUUGAAAUGAUUAUCAAACAAGUAAGAAAAAAGUUUUCCAAAUUAAGAAGAGAAAUUAGAAAAUUUAACUGUCAGAUGACAACAACCAUUUCAACUGGAUUAGUCGAUACAGAUUAGAAUAAUUGUAAAAUCAUAUCAACAACUAUUUCAUUCAAAAUUCGUAACUGUGACUUUUGAUUUUUCAAUGAAUUUAUUUACCUAAACAAAAAGCAAUUACUGUUAAAUGCAGUAGUACUAGUACUUAAAUGGCCUACCAUGUUGAUUUGUUUCACAAUUAUAUGUCAGUCUUUUUCUUGACUUUAAAAGCCAAGCCACAAUAAUUAACUAGAAGAAAGCUUCACGCAAGAAUAUUGAGGCAUUAUCUUCAGGACUGUAGAGUCACACAUAUUGCUUCUUUUCUAUGUUGAUAUUUUCCUGAAUUCAAAGGUUUAUUAAAGUCUUAGAAUCUUGAUCGAGGUUAAAUUCAAAGGUUUAUUAAAGUCUUGAAUCAUGAUCGAGGUUUUAUACACUUUUGGAACGCAUGUUGAGAGUAUGAAUUUUACAUCGAGAAAAGAAGAGAUUUUGUAUGUGUUUAUAAGUAAUUAGACUACUCAUUAUAUUACCAAUUGGUUUUUAUAGUGAAACCUCAACUUUUUUUCAUAGCAUUCAGACAAGUUGUCUCUCGUGUGAAGCCCAACAACCGCAUGUACUCCGCAUCACCUGAUUUGUGCUAUUCACGUGUUAGACUUGAUAAUUCGCCACAUGUAGAAGAAGCUGAGAGUAUGAAUCCCACAUCGAGAAAAGAAUAGACUUUGCAUGUACUUAUAAGUAAUUAAACUAUUACCAAUUUAUUAUAGAACCUCAACUUUCUCCGAUGCAUGUCAUGUUAAUAAAUCACAAUACGACUAUUGGAAAAGAUACAAAAUCUCUGAAAAAUCUCCCAUGGAUAGGAAGGAGCUAUACCACAGGAUGUUCUGUUUCUUCGCCCUAAAGAAGUACGUACUCAAGUAGAGAUUUUGUACACUGUCUAGGAAUUGGAACUGCGUAAAUCUGCGGAUCUUAAACAUGAAAGAGCCAUAAACUCCGAAAAAUCCUGUGGUGAACCCAGGUGCGAAAGUGAAAUGAAACCAUGGAAUUGGAUUCCCAUUGUCCAAAUCUUGGCUGUUCUUAUAUCUGCACCAAGGCCAUCGCCAGUGCACCGCAAAGUUUCAAAUUCACCUCGAAGGCGGACGAAUUGAACCGCAAAGUACUGUAUGAUACAUUAAAAAUGACAAGAAAUUAAGGGUCUGUUUGGUAUCAUUUUUGAAAUUUUUUAUAAUUUCUCAAAACAUUUUUAAGAAUUUUUCUUGAAAAUAAUUUUCUUUAAGAUUCAAAAACUUGUUUGGUAUACGAUUUAAAAAUUUUAAAUCUUACAACUUAAAUUAGACAAAAAGAUCCAAAAGAGAGAAUCAAGAGAUAAAGAGGAGAGAAGAGGAAAGAAAGUAAGAGAUGAUUGGAGGAAAGAGAAAAAAGUGAGAGGAUCAGAGGAGAUAAGAAAGAGGACCAAGAAAAUGAAAAAAACGGAUUGAAUAAGAGACGAAAAAAGGAUUAAAAAAAAAAGAGAAUAGGGGAAGAGAGAAAGAAGAAAAGAGAGAGAUAGAUUUGGAGUGAGAGAGGAGGGGGAGAGAAAAGAAAUGAGUGAAUUUAAGUUUAAAAACUUUUUUAUCUUUGUAAAGAAUCAACUAUAUUUUUGAGUUAGUUUUGAAUUCAGUUUUUGAAAAUAGUCAUAUCAAACAAGUUUUUAAGGCCUAAAAUUUGAAAAUUACUUUUGAAUUUAAAAAAUUGGAUUCAAGUAGAGUACCAAACAAAAUCUAAGAACCGCCAAUGAUGCUGGGGUUUCUCCGGACAGAUGAUAUAUGGAGAGGACCAGUACUGUCUCCAAGUUUUGAGGCCAGAUAUAUAUUUGGUCUGGAAUGUAAUAGCAUUAAAUUAAUCCAACGCGUGGAGAAGCUGCAGUGGGCCAAUCUCAAUAAAUAUUUUGCCGGUAAAUCUAUUGUUCUGAAAGAAUAGCACUUCUGCAAGUUCUUCGCAAUAUAGUUUUGAUGUAAAGAAUUUGUACUAACAAUGAUGAUCAUGGGUAGUUCAAGACAUGUGGUCUGUUGAGCUUAAGUGAUUCCAGAUACCAACACUGGCAGCCUGCAAAGUUCCUUUAGAAAUCCUCCUGAAAUUCGGUCAAGAAGGGUCCCCAACCAACUCGGAAAUUGAGACUGAAAGAGGAUUUUACAAAUUCUAAUUGCUGAAAUAAUCAAAAUCACAUAACCACGACAUAUAUCAAUCAGAUAUGAUGACAUUAUGGAUCAAAUAUUUAAGAUAUAUUGAAAAAAUUCCGAAAAGUGAUCAUUAUGACAAUUGAGAUUUUGUAUUUUCAUCGUUUUUGUCAAUUUUCCUAGAAGUAAAGCUAUGGACAAAGAAGCAUGAGAAAGAUGAAAUUAUAUUACGCACAAUUUUGUCGGGCAAUGUUCGUCGCACAAACAUCAUCACUACAGAGUUUACUGAUGAAUAGUACAAAGUCGUCGAGCAAAUUGUGUUUACAUGAUGAAAUAAUUUCGUCGAGGAAAGGACGUUGACCUUUGCCCGACGAACCGUAAACCCAAAAUUAUAAAAUAUACGUACCUUUGCACAACGAACAAUUCAAUGAAACUUGUAUUAUUCGUUGCACAAUGGUUGCUAUAUUUACGCGCCAAGUUUUUUCCUUGGUGCAAAAACUUUACCCGAUGGAUGGAACUUUGCCCGUCGAACACUGUUCGUCAAGCAAAAGCCUCUAAAUAACCAAAACGUUACUGUUUUUGGCAACCGAAUAUAUGAAUUCCAACGAUUAAAGUUUAUUUACAAAAUUCCUUUCAUCGGGAAAUGGUAAUUUCUAGCUGUGAAAGUGAGAGGGGCUUUAUGCCAUCAAAUUAUUAUAGGCAAAACUAUUAACAAACAAUAAUCGUAUUUCUUAAUUUGCCAUCGCGGGGAACUUAUCUUUAACAUUGCUCAGAAAUAGGAAAUAUGCAUCUCUCCAAGACCUAAUAAACACUAAAGAAUCAGACUCCCCAAAAUCCGAAAAUAAAACCAACAAUCACGGAAAAAUGAAACCAGUCUGCACAUCUUUAGUGUCAUUACUUGUAUACAUCUGUUGGCAUUUGUUUGGAAGUGGGGCACCACAAAGUCCUUGGUUCCCCUCGAAUGCAGUGGCAUUCAAACCUUCGAUUUGAGUGCCGGAUGGUAUUAUUCCUUUGUUGUAAGCAACCGUAAAUGAAGACAAGAAGUGGAGACUUGAUAUUGAUGCUGGGAUUUCUCCUGACAGAUUUAGUGAUGGUUUGAAUUCUUGUGAGCGGUGUUUGAGCUUUGAAGUCUUUGCUUUCCACUUAAACAGAAAAGAAACAAACCUGCAGAACAUGGGUUGGCAACGUAUUACAAGGUUUACAUUGACUUUGGGUGCGUGCUUUCGGAAAAGUGAUGUGGGCAUAUUUUCAUACAUUAUUAUCGUAUUUUCUUUUUUGGAAUUUGUGUAAAUACAUUAAAUUUAAUUGUUUUAAUAUAUAGACUUCAAUAUCGGAGUUGUGAGAAAAGGAUGAAGAUCGGAUCAUUUUUGUGGGGAUUUUAUGGAUUCUCAAAUCUUAAUCAUUUAUCGUACAUCGUACGGUCAGUUUACUAUUUGUGUUUAAUUUAGAUAAAAAAAUUCAAAUGAUUAUGAUCAUACAAUAUACGAUGAAUGACUAAGAUGCGAGGAUCCCUAGGAUCCCCACCAUUGGAUCCAGAUGGGAUCCAAAUCCGUGCGAAAAAGAAGUGGAAAAUGAUGAUUUCAGGUGUCUAAAGUAAUUCAGCUGAGCAUGAGGCUAAUUAAUUGUGCCAAGACAUAUGUAUUACAAUAUGAAGAUGAGACCACAAAGAUUUUUUUUUUUCAUCAACGACUACAAAGGUUUUGAAUAUACAUGGAAAUGCUAUUCAAUGGAUUUAAGAAGAGACAUGAUUAUUUGUUCUUAUUAUUUCCGUUUAUUUUCUUUUUAUUUAACAAAGACUUAAAGUCCAAUAGUUAGAAUUUUAGUGGGUUUUUCAUUAGAAUUUAGUAGGAUUUAUUUUUAUUGCCGUGGGUUAUAAAAAGAGAUAUUCUUUGUGGUAACGGGAUUCAACCAAAUCAAAAUUAUCACAUUGGAGAAGGUUGCGGCAAGGAGGAAGAAAGCUAGAUUUUUUUUUAUAUAUCUUUUCUAGGGCUUCGAUAUAGUUUGAUCAUGAAUACUUAAUUACCUUGUGUCAUUGUUUUAUCAAAUUUUUAUUUCAUAUUGAAUAUCUUUCGCUAUUCGUAAUGCGCUCAAUUUUUAUUUGAGAAAAUUGUAGUAAACGUCACUCAACUUUAAUCCAAUUGGAGUAACGGUCCUUGAACUAAAAAUCCAUGACCAUUGAUCCCUUAACUCCUUAAAACGUGCCCCUAUGAUUGAUGGUCGAUACUAUACUAUAUAUUUUACCCUAAUCUUAGUAAUAAUUUAUUGGUUAUUAUGUGAAUUUUCUUACUUUGAAUUAUAUUCUAAUGUAGGACAUUCGACUUCCGUGGUGAUGAAAUGAAGGGCCAGCGCACAGCUUUCCCAGAUUGACGUUUCUAGACGUUUUGGGUAUUUUGGAGGUUAAGAUGACAUAUUUUGAAGAAGAUUUCUUCUGAGGAUUUGUAGGGGACGUCUCCACCUUUCAAAAGAGACCUUUUGGGACUAAAUCGGAGUUGAUUUGGUCAGUCAAAAGACUAAUUUUUCUGAGAAAUCCGAAUUUUAGUUCAAAUAGGAAACCUUUAAUUUCUGUUUUAUUAUUUUUAUUAUGUUUCCUAGUUUUAUUUUAAGACCUUUUAGGGUUUUAUUGUGUAGUAGUAUAAAUAAGGCUUUUUAGCCAUUAGGGUUUUUUAGAAUGCAAGAAGGAGAGGGGGAGAAGGCAUGCAUUAUUUUGGAGAACUUCAGACUUUUUACCUGCAAGGUGUUUUCAAUCCUUUUUCUAGUUAAUAUAUUUUAUUUUGUUUUAUGAUUGUUCAUAACUAAGUUCUUUUGCUAGGAUGAAGUCAUGAGCCUUAGCAUGAAUAUGUAAUUUUAUUAAUUUGCUUAUGAAUGAAUGCAUGCUUGCUUUGAAUUAUUAAUCAAUGCGAUUAAAACUAUCUAAUUGUCUUAGUGAUUCGUGACCAUUAGGGUUUUUAGACAAGUAAUUUGAUGCAAUUUUUGUUGGAACAUCACCCUGAAAUUGAGAAGGGCUUCUUGUGAUUAGUAAUUUUAAGUUCACUUAAGGCGAACAUCACACUCUUAAGGGUUGCAUGGUUUUUCAAAGGGUUUUCACAAAGCCUAAUAAGUCUUACAUGUUUAUAUUUGAUCUGAACAUCACAAACGGGCUGCAUGUUAGAUAUACGUUUUCACUUGAACAUCAUGAGGAAAAUAUGCAUUAUGAAAACCUUACCUUCAAAGCAUGUGUGUUGAAAUUCAUAAGUAAUUGGUAAAUUUGCGUAGGAUUGUUAAGGGGACGGUAGAACCCUAGGCUUUUACAAAUUGAUUUUCUUUUAAAUUGUUCUCUAGUUAAUUUCUUUAAUUGUUUUAUUUUAAAAUUCGUUUUUAUUAUAUUAAAUUCUAAAAUCAACAUUUUCCAACCUUUGUUUUAAAUAAUUAGCUAAGAAUUAGUUUAAAUACAAAUUAUUCAUUCAAUCCCUGUGGAAAACGACAUUGCUUGAGCCGCUAUAGUACGACAACCUUGCACUCUUGCAAGUAUUUUAAGUGUUUUUAUCUCUACUUUUGUAGGUGGUAAAAAUCCCUAUCAAUGAUCAUUUUCUUCAAUUCCUUUAGAACUCUCGUCAAAAUGAGUCACGUGCCACGCACAUGAGGCCGAAUCGAGGGGCAAAUAUGGUACACAAAAUGAGAAAAUUCUAACAAUGAUCCCUCAACUUUAACCCAACUGGAAAAAUGGUCUCUCAAUUUUAAUACAAGUUAUUGUUGUUUUGAUCACCAUCUAAGUUUUAGUUAAGUUGUUUUGAUGCAAGUUAGAGUAGAUGUCAUACUUAACUUGGGUUUAGCUUCUUGCAAUUGAUACCAUAAACACAGAUAUGCCAACUUGGGUUUAGCUUCUUGCAAUUGAUACCAUAAACACAGAUAUGCCAUGCAAUUAGGGUUUAUGUGAUUUUCAAGCACUUUCCAUAGAGAUUAAUGAGUUCUUACUUGUUUAAAUUCAUCUAGAUGCCAUAGAGGGUUAACAUAUUAAGAUACUUUUGAUGCAACCAAAUGCCAUGACUGUUGAUUAUUGGGAAACUACUUGAGCAUAACAUAUUAAGGGAAUUAAGUAGAAUUGGUUAUGGUGAAUUUGAAUGCCCUCUGUUGAUGCACAAAACCGGAGCGGUUUUGGAACAACGUAAAUCCGACCGUGAAUCUGCACAAACGCUCAAGAACACGAAGAACACAAAGAACACAAGGAUUUUAUCGUGGUUCACCCCAAUGUUUGGGCUACGUCCACACUGUAGUUGAUUCUGUUUCUCUGUAAUUGUAUGGAUACAAGUGUUUGAGAGGAAGUCCCCCAGAGAAAGAAGAGAAGGGAGAGGAGAGCCUCGGUGGUGUGAGGUCUCUCCUGAAUGUAAUGAGAGCUUCUCUUAGCCUUCUUAGGCUUGGCUCUUUUGCCCCCUUUUAGAAUGAGGGGAGGAGUCCCCUUUUAUAGAAUAAGGGGCUCCUCCUCUUUUACAAAGUAUGGGCUUUAGUGUGAGGCCCAAAUACAAGGCCCAAGGCCCAAAUAUACGAGGCCCUAAAUAUGGUAUAAACAGUAGUCCCCCAAGUCUUCAGUCAAGAGAGUCUUUUGGCUGGAGACUUGAAAUUCAGUCCAUGUGUGGGCCGAAGUAACUAAAUGUCGUCUAGAACUGAUGCUCGAUAUGAGGCGGUACCCAAUCUGAAAUGAUGCUCAACUAGAAGUAGCACAUGUUGUGAGGCCACUUUGCUUGUAGCUUAUGUUGCCUUGGUUGGCUUGGCUUGUGGCGUUUGAAGGUGAGGGAGUCCCUUUUAUAAAAUAAGGGCUCGCUCCUCAAUACAUAAAUGAUGGGCUAGAGUUGAUGCUCACGGCGAGGCGGUUGCUCAGCAGGCGGCGAUGCUCUCUAAUGAUGGUGAGGGAGUCUUUUUUAUAAACUAAGGGCUCGCUCCUCGAUACAUAAAUUUAGGAGUGAUGCUCGUGGCGAGGUGGUUGCUCAGCUGGCGGCAAUACUCUCUAAUGGUGGUGAGGGAGUCCCUUUUAUAAAAUAAGGGCUCGCUCCUCAAUACAUAAGUGAUGGGCUAAGUCCCCCAAGUAUUUUUCAUGAGGCCCAGUUGAGGCCCAAUAUAUGGUACAUAAUGUAGUCCCCCAAGUCUUCGGUCAAUAGAGUCUGUUGGCUGGAGACUUCAAAUUGAAUCCAUGUAUGGGCCGAAGUGGCGGUUGUUCGGAGGCGGUAUUUGUAUACCCUGCACUGAAGCUUUGUAGGUGAAGCUUUGCAAGUGAAGCUUUGAAGCUAGAGCUCUGUAAAUGAAGCUUUUGAAGCUGAUUGACAUGAGUGAUGCUCAUGAAUGUUUAUGUUGAUUGACAUGAGUGAUGCUCAUGGAUGUUGUUAUGAGUGAUGCUCAUGAAUGUUGACAUGAGUGAUGCUCAUGAAUGUUUAUAUAUGAUUGAUAUGAGUGAUGCUCAUGAAUGUCUAUGUAUGAAUGACAUGAGUAAUGCUCAUGUAUAAUUUGGAGUACUAGGCGUACUUUUGAUCACCUGGUUGGUGGCAUGAAGGAGAGUACGGGUUGUACAUUUCAUCACCUGGUUGGUGGCAUGAAUGGCUAGUUGCCAAAUUAGAGUACGAGUUGUACAUCUCAUCACCUGGUUGGUGGCAUGAAUGGCUAGUUGCCAAAUAGAGCACGGGUUGUACAUCUCAUCAUCUGGUUGGUGGCAUGAAUGGCUAGUUGCCAAAUGAUAUUAGAGUACGGGUUGUACAUUUCAUCACCUAGUUGGUGGCAUGAAUGGCUAGUUGCCAAAUGAUAUUAGAGUACGGGUUGUACAUUUCAUCACCUAGUUGGUGGUAAUAGCGGCGGGUUGCCGAAUAAUUUUUUUAGAAGUACUGGGCGUACUUUUGAUCACCUGGUUGGUGGCAUGAAGGAAAGUACGGGUUGUACAUUUCAUCACCUGGUUGGUGGCAUAAAUGGCUAGUUGCCAAAUUAGAGUACGGGUUGUACAUUUCAUCCCCUGGUUGGUGGCUUAAAUGGCUUAUGGGCCUUCGCUCUCCACCACAUGCCAGCCUUUUUUUUUAUUUUUUUUUUAUUUUUUAUUUUUUAUUUUUUUUAUUACUACCCUCUGAUGGGGUUUAUACAAAUGUUUCCGAAAGAUACGAAAAAUAGAUUACAUCAUUCAAAAAUAAGGAAAGUAAACCACAUCACUCUGAUGGGGUGUUUAUUCCUUGCUUUUGCAGUACGGGUCCUUGCUGUUGCUUGUGUUUUUCUACAACAUUCUCUCUGUUUCUGUCUUUGCGUUGCCAGAGAUUUGGCUUCCACUUGGUGACGUUGUUCCUUUCUGCUUUGGAAAGUAGACAGCUCCUGUUUGUAAAAGCAAGAAGAUACCGUUUGUAAAAGCAUCUUUUCCUUUUGCUUUUUUUUUUUUUCACUUUGUUUCCCACUACUUUGCUCUUUUGCUUUUUGUGCUGUCAUCUGCUGCUGGGGAUCUGAAAGUGUUAUGCAGUGGGCAUCUUCUCAAUGGGAGUGACAAAGCAUCAUCGUGGCCUUGUUGUGCCAUCAUCGUCACAGCAGUGCUUUACAGUAAUGGCUCUAGCUAAAGCAUCAAGGUCUUCAAGCAGUUUCCCAAUUCUGACCUCAUUCCAAGGAUCCCUGUAAUGCUCCCGCAAUAUAUAAUCCGUCGAAAAAUUGCACAGAAACUUGACCCGGACCUCUCCAGCCUGCGGCGGAGCCACCUGUACGUCUUCGAUCACCAAAGGCUUAUCGGGUUCCCAGGCCAUCGCUGCUUUGUUGGUGACGACUUGACCUUGGGUAACCAUGGAUUUGAAUCUACUUGUCGAGCUCCUGCCAUUUAUUGAGAAUCUGGGUGCAGCCUGACAAGGCUUCGGUCCUCAUGAAACCCAUAGCAUUGGCAAACCGGCUGUACGAAGCAAUACCAUUGUUGGCGGUGAGGAUGACACAUGCAUACCAUUAUUGGCGGUGAGGAUGAUCUUCCAUGGUUUGUUCACCAUUUUCUGAGGUUUGUGAAGCUCACUCACUGUGUGUUGAUCAUGGUGCGUACGGGAUUCGGCAAGGUCGCCUACUAUUUUCUUCACGGAGGCGGAUGAGGCCAUGGCUUGCCUUAGAAAAACCACUGGCCCAGGUGGAGGCCCGUUUUGAGCUUUAUCAGCACAUUUGUUUUCUCUUUCUCUAAAAGCUGUGUAGGUGAUUUCCGACACGGGAAGGGAGGAAGGAAGGGUUGCAGUGUGCGUUCAAGGAGAGUCCAAGAGAAGUAGAGAGAGAACUGCGGUGGGCUCACGGUAUCCGAAUGUCACCACUUUGCUGCUGCCUUUCCGUUGCUAUCGGCCGAGACGAGUGUGAACGUUGUUAUCUGGGCUCAUGGAUGGGACUCUCGCUGGGCAGAGAGGAACAAGGAGCAGCCGUCUGGACCUUGGGGGAGUCGACAGCAGCAGGGAGCGGAGAGCGUCUCUCUUGCUGCUCUCAUGAUCUCCGGCUGAGCCGCAAGUGGGAACUGCCGUGCCAUGCUCGGGUCGCUGCUGCUGGGACCCGGUUCUCCUCCGCUCGGGCCGGCUUGCUGCUUUAAAUCUGACGGGGGUAGGUGGCAUGGAUGGUGCUGGUGGCAGCUACUGGGUUUGCUGAAUCGGGUCAAUAACUGGGGAAGAGACAAUGGUUUCUUCACAAUCUGAGGAGAAUAAGCCAUUGUUGGAGUCGAUUCUUCUGUUAUCUUCCUUCUUUUCUUUUUUCAUUUGCUCUUUCUCUUUCAAUCUUUUGUAAUGAAGCUUUUCAGAACCUCUCUGACAAGUUACCAAUUUGACAAGGCUGUUUGUUUUUCUCCAUCUCUAGUUUUCAGAUCUAGGAAGUAGUAGUUGCAGAGAGAUUAAUUGUGAAUUAGAGAGAGAGAGAGAGAGAAAGAGAGAGAGUGAAGGGAGGAGACAGAGAUUUGGAUCUUUCUGGGUUUUUGUGAUUUUUCUGCUUUCUGGGUUUUGUAGAGAGAGAGAGAGAGAGAGAUAAGAAAGAGUUUGAGAGGUAGAGGCAGAUGCAGAGUCUGAAACCAGAGGCUCAAUGGAUCUGCUGGAGCACCAAUUCCUCCAGAGCACGGUGCUGAUCUUCCAACGACAGCGAGAAGUUACUCAAGUCGUCAAUCGCAAUCUGCAUCAGCUGCGCGUUCGAAGGCUUCUUCAGCUCGUCCAUGAGCUGCUUUAUCUCUAGCCGGCGGUCGUUUAGGUCGGCAGGAGACAAUCGCUCGACAUCUCGCGCCUUCUCUUUCAAUUGGACGGGAUCAGAGUGACCAAUGGCCCAUUGUGAUCGGAGUGGCCUAUGGCCCACUAUAACAUUCGCUCAAGAGAAGAGAAGCCACCGUCGGCGUCAAGGUCAGCGAUGGCGGUAUCGUCAUCCCGAGGCUGAGUCCGAGUCUAAGCCUGCGUCUCGUCUUCUGCACUGGACCACUAUACCCUUUCCGUAUUGUUAAUAUUUCGCUCCAAGGAACAACAAUCAUGGCACACUUUGCUAGGAGUAAGGUUUUGGGUUCUUGCAGAUUUUGCAGAUUCACGGUGGAGGUGAAAAAAUGAAAGAGAACCGACAUAGUUUUUCGUGUCGAUUCCCACAGACGGCGCCAAAUGUUGAUGCACAAAACCAGAGCGGUUUUGGAACAACGUAAAUCCGACCGUGAAUCUGCACAAACGCUCAAGAACACGAAGAACACAAAGAACACAAGGAUUUUAUCGUGGUUCACCCCAAUGUUUGGGCUACGUCCACACUGUAGUUGAUUCUGUUUCUCUGUAAUUGUAUGGAUACAAGUGUUUGAGAGGAAGUCCCCCAGAGAAAGAAGAGAAGGGAGAGGAGAGCCUCGGUGGUGUGAGGUCUCUCCUGAAUGUAAUGAGAGCUUCUCUUAGCCUUCUUAGGCUUGGCUCUUUUGCCCCCUUUUAGAAUGAGGGGAGGAGUCCCCUUUUAUAGAAUAAGGGGCUCCUCCUCUUUUACAAAGUAUGGGCUUUAGUGUGAGGCCCAAAUACAAGGCCCAAGGCCCAAAUAUACGAGGCCCUAAAUAUGGUAUAAACACCCUCGAUCUUAUUUUCUUAUGUUUUCAAUCUAUUAUUUCUAUGCAUUUUAUUUUCAAGCUUUGUUUUAUUUCAAUUUAAUUCAAAUAUCAUAUCUUUUCCGUUGAAGCUUCUCCAUUAUAUUAGUUUCAAUUUAGUUAGUAAGAAUUUUAGAAUCAAUUCGAUCUUUGUGGAAGGAUAUAUGUGCUUAUAUGCUAUACUAUCAUAUGAUUUGUAUAUUUGCGAGCACUAAAAUCCGAGACAUAAUGGGGUUAGUUUUGGUUGUCUAAUUUUCGCAAAAAAAAAAAAAAAAAAAACUAAAAACACGUUUGCCAUAAAAUAUGGUUGUUUGAUAAAAGUGCUUCGAGUAGAAAGUGUUAUGAACUAACAGAUGAAUAAUUAUAUAGUUAAAAAUAAGAACUAUAAGAACGUAUUACAUGGUUUAAAUGGACUUUGGGUUCGUGCUUUCAGAAAAGCUAAAAACACUUUUGUCGUAAAAAAUGGUUGUUUGAUAAAAGUGCUUCAAGGAGAAAGUGUUAUGAACUAACAGAUGAAUAAUUACAUAGUUAAAAAUAAGAAGUAUAAGUGACACGCCCCGACCCUGAUAUUCCCUGAAUACCAGGAUAGACACGUGUUGGCCGACACCCGAGAGUGACGAAAGCCAUUAAUUGAUACAAAAGCUAAGAAUAAGAAAUAAAUACGGAUUAUGAAUUUAAAAAGAAUGAAUUAACAAUUUAGGAACGUGUUCAGAGCAUACAACUAAACCUAGUCACUAACAAGAAUUAAGAUAAGAUUGAAUGAACAAGGAGUAGGUCCUACCCCGAGAAGACUCGAAGAUGCUGCUGCGGAAGUGCCUUGAUGCCGGGAUUCUAUGCCUCGUUUCUAAGACCUGAAUGGGGGCGCAAAAUAAGAGUGAGUGGACCAAGUUUAUAUACAUACAUAGUACGAAAACAGUUAUGAACAUACUAAUCCCCACAGUUAAGAUAAUGAAAACUACUAAAUAAUAAGUGAUAGGUUUCUCAAAACCUCUAGCAUGCCAUAAAAACAAUUCAUAUAUCCAUCUGCAAAUCAAUCUCAGAAAAUCAUAUCAUAAAUCAUCUCAGCAAUCAUAUCAGGAAGCAUAAUACAAGUUGUGCUGCUAGUGAGUGCACUGAAUAAUAAUACGCCCGGCCCAAUGCCUGCACCUCAGUCUCUGUGCCCGUAGCCAGAGAUAUCUCCCUCCCGGCCCAAUGCUUGUCUCCGUGUCCCUCAGCCUUUCGCUAGGGAUUAUUUCUCCCGGCCUCAAUGCCAACACCAGAUCCUCGCCCCAGGCGGCAUAGUGUUCACUAGGUACGCACAAAACAUAAUUCAUCUCUAAAAUACAACUUCGUAGCAUAAAUUCAUCGAUCCUCUAUACUACGAAGAGGUGUUCAACAAUCAUUUGAAACACAUUCUUAGCAUCCUAUCGUCAUCAAUCAGAUAGUCUACCAGAAUGAGGGUUCUAUAGAAAAUACAAUAUAAUGACAAUAGUUCAAAAUAUAUAUAAUCAAUCAUAAUUAAAUCAUCAUGCUUCCUGUAAGGUAUUCCUCAAAUCAAAUAAUUCUGCAAGGCAUGCUAUUAAAUUAUGCAAUUCUAUCAAUAAAACAUGCAAUUUUCGAAGGUGGUCCACUCACAGAUACUUCGAAGCAGCAGAAUUCUGUGGAAAAAGAUUAAGGAAGUCUCCACUAGCAACUUCACAUAAGCACGAAAAUAUACAAUUUAAUCAAACUACCCAAACGAUAGAAUUUUAGGAAAUGGAAAUGGGUCUUGGGUUGAGAAGGGUGGUUUGGGCUUAAACCCAAACCCACACUCACACACACGUACUGUACACACACACAGGGCCUGCACACACACACUGUGCAGCCCAAAACACACCCACACACUUCAUGCACAUGCACGGACACACACACACACACAACCCACACACAUGUACGCCAGCACACGUGUCACAUGCAUGCACAUCACACCAUACACAUCACACAACACACACACUGUACGGACACCAACAUGCCAAACACACACACACAGACAGCAUGCAUAUAUAUAUAUAAACACACACACACAGACAGCAUGCAUAUAUAUAUAUAGGGGUUUCUCCAUUUUAAUCCUUAAUAAAGAUUGAAAUUCAAUUAAAACCUUAUGUUAGAUUAUAUAUUCAUUAUAGUCCUUUGACUAAAUUUCCAUGUCAGCAUAAAUAUUAAAAUUUAUAUUUUCUUGUUUUUAAAUAUUUAAUGCGUUUUUUUGGUUCCUAUAAUGCCCCUAUUAAAUAUUUGAUUUUAAUUUGCUCCAUAUUUUUUGCAUUGAUUAUUGUCUGACUUUCUAAAAUGAUAAACAUAAUUCAAAAAAAUAUUAGUGAUACAUUACAAGAAUUAACAAAUACCUAAUUCAAAUUAUUCAUUAUCACCAUUCAAAGCCUAGAGGAAAUAUAAAUAGCCAAAUCAUAUAUUUUACAUAAUCGAAUGCACUUAAACCAUGUCCUAAUGUGCUUAAAUCAUAUAACCUAGUCGAAUGCACCUAAACCAUGGUACUUAUAUGAAUGCACCUAAAUUAUGGUACUUAUAUGAAUGCACCUAAACCAUUACCUAUGGUCUUGUAUAUGAAUGCACCUAAAUCAUGGUACCUAUAUGAAUGCACCUAAAUCAUAGUACCUAUAUGAAUGCACCUUAAUCAUUUAGGUACUAUCAAUUAGGUCUUAUCCAUUCGGUAUGGUCGGUUAGGUACUAUAUAGUGUAUGUCCGAUUAAUUUGGUACGGUCAAUUAAGUUGUGAUUUCACAUUCUAUUUUCUCAAUUUGUAUUUUUUUUCAUUUAUCUCUGGAUUCACCGUCAAUUUGGCAUCUAAAAGCCCAUUUUUCUUCUUUCUUCCGAAUACAACGAGAUUUUUGGUUUGUAAGUUUUAUGGCUUUUUUGUUUGAUCAUGGUUUCUGAGUUUUCUGGGUUCUUUGAUUGGAAUAACACAUGGAGAUUUAUGUUAUAACAAACAUGUUAAUUAUGGAUCUAGUUAAUUAAGCAUUCUUGAAAAAUUAAUUAUAUAUUUGUUUCUCUAAUUGGUUUUAAGAGAGUAAUAAGGGUAAAUAGGGAAACUAAAAAAUGCAAAUAAAUUUAUUAAAAAAUGAUUGAAUGUGACAUGGAAUUACUAUAAUCUGACAUGGAGGACUAUUUUUAGUUUUUAAUCUUACAUACGGUAUUAUUGAAAAAGUAAUCUUAUUUAGGGAUUAAAAUGAAGUUUUCUAAUAUAUAUAUACACCUACAUAUAAACACACACGCAUGCACAGCAUGCAUAUAUAUAUAUACACACAUAUAUAAACACACACACAGCAUGCAUAUAUAUAUAUAAUCCCACACACGCACAGCAUCAUGCAUAUAUAUAUAUAUAUAUAUAUAUAUAUAUAUAUAUAUAUAUAUAUAUAUAUAUAUAUAUAUAUAAUCACACACACGCACAGCAUGCAUACACACACAGCAUGCACCGUACCACACACACACUCUUGAACACACACACACACCUACGAACUCGCCGGAGUUCGUCGUCGGAACCGGGUUUUUGGCAUAGAGAAAAGGUAAGGUCAAAACCCUCGAUUUUGACCUUAAAACCAACACAAAUAACAUGAUUAACCCCAGAAAUUUGAAGAAAGAAAACAAGUAUCACCUGGGUUCGAAUUUGAGAGCUUCAAAGCUCACGGCAUCAAUGGUGAUUCACUUCACAAUGCCCCGAUGAUGCAUGCAAGACCAUAAUCUUGUUCCCCGAGUCCCAUAGGUUUAGAAUAUCAAGAUUUGGGGUUGAAUUGUGAAGAAAAUGGCACUGGUGGUGGCUGGGUUCUUUCUCGGCACCGGAGAGAAGGGAAAGAAAAGGAACGGAGAGAAUAAGAGGAAUGAAAACUGAGAGGGAAAAAUAGAGAACUUGGGGGAACAACAUUCAGGAGUGGGCCCCACGGUUCACCAUUUAAUAUAAAAAAACAAGUUUUUAAAUAGAAAUGGGUGAGGUGUUACAACUUACAAUAAGAACGUAGAAGGUUUACAUUGACUUUGGUUUCGUGCUUUUGGAAAUGUUAAAGAUACUUUUGUUGUAAAAAAUGGUUGUUUGAUAAAAAUGCUUCGAGUAGAAAGCAUUAUGAACUAACAAAUGACUAAUUACAAAAAAAGCAUAAGUGUUACGUGAAAGGGACUUAUAAGUCAAGGUUAUGUGCUCGAUUUUUCUUCUUUAAAUGCUAUUUAUAUAAAAAAAAAAAUGGCACAGUUAUGCGCAAUAAUUAUUUAGUAUAGAAUUUCGUAGACCUACCAUGCAUGAUUUAUUACACUACUAUGUAUUUUUUUUUCUUGAGAAAUGCUAAGGGACUCUUUCAAAAGUAGAAAUCUUCAUUGACUAUAUGUCACUUCAUGUUUUUUACACAAUAUUUUAUAAUGAUGACACAUAAAUUAACGUUAAACUAUGAGGUUACAAAAAGAAUUCCGUAGCAUUUCUCUUUUCUUUUUUUCUUUUUUCUUUUUGUCUUUUGACUUUGAAAUUUCAAUGAUAUAACAAUUAACACAAAGAAUGCUACAAUUUUGCAGAUGGACACAUGGCCACUUAUCUAAGUUGAUUCCCAAUGGUUCAAUUAAGUCAUGAGCAAGGGAAACCAAUGGAGAAUUUUAUUUUCUUUUUGGUUGGGUAAGAUGCUUUAUUCAAAUCAACGAUCCAAAUUGUUUAUUUAUUUAGUCUUCAUUUAUAAAUUAUUUUUGCAAAAAGAACAAUUUAAUUCGAAACUAUUUACCUUUUUGAUUGUUGUGAUGAAAUUUUAAUAUUUCUUAGAACAUAAUGUUCGUUAAUUUUUUUGAACUCAAUACAUGUCUCAAACAUUUUCGUCAUGCAUAAUAUUUUUUUAAGGAUGAUGAAACGCAACUUGAAAAAAUAGACAGUUCGAAUAGUUAAAGUUUGAUGUGAAAUAGGGCCCCGAACUAGUCUCUAUUUUUAUAAAAAAAAAUGGAGAUCUUUUUGAAUAAAGGGUCUAUUUAUAUAAAACAGAAGAAACACGCACAUCUCUUUAGUCCCAUAUCCAAAUGCAUAAAACGCUUCAUAUUCCUAUUCUUCUUUAUCCAAGUCAAGCUGAUCCGGCUUAAUCCAAGUCAAGCUAAAAAGGUGAACACAAACGGAGCCAAGAGUCUCUCAGGCUAAAAAGGUGAACAUAAAACGCUUCAUAUUGCUUCAGACCCUCAUUUCUUAAAAAAAAAAAAAGAAAACCCGGACAAAACCUCUCUCGACAUACCCUCGAGACACCAUCAAACUGUAGACCCAGACAUUUGUUUGCCAAAAAUUUCAACAGAAAAAAACUGUUACGUUGCAUGCAUGUAUUUGUAGACGAUCAAGCUGCAUUUACAUGUUUCUUCCUUAAUGUGCUAUCUUACGCUCACAAGAUAAUUGCAAGUUAAACUUUCCGAAAAGAGAUUGCAGAUAAACUGUUUGAUGAAAUCCCUGAACCGUUUUCUUUCCCAACAAUGGCCAAUUUGCAGGGUUAGGAACUUAGGUGCCACUGUAACACAUUUCCUGAACCGCCUCCUCUUGUGAAAGUUGGAGCUCUGUGAUUUUCGGCUUCUGCUCGUGCUGGGAUUCGUUCGACGACUUCCGACUUUCAACCCGUGCAAACUAGAAGUAGUAAGUGAAAACCCAACUUAAACUAGUUUUUUUUUUGUUUUACUUUCGGAAAAAAUACAAACCCUUCUUAAUGAUUCUGCAUAUACACAGAUUUUGAUGUGUAGUGUCAAAUUCAGUCAGGUCCCUUUUGUUAGUUUCAGUUUUCUUCUUAACCAAACUGAUUGGGCAAGUUUAUGAAAAUCGAGGAGAUUUUCACGGAUAGUUUGAUUCGUUAUGUGACAUACCUUUUUGUGGUUAAACAUAUAUGAUGUAUACUCUUAGGCUUUAUUCACGUGUAAAAUCUUCUAAUAUGUUAUGUUAUCAAACUUCCAUCAUAGUUUCAGCUGAUGAUUGAUAGUUUGGUCCAUAAUUUUGCUCUAAACAAAGAGAAAAUAAAUAAAAGAGCUAUUCAACUUACAAUCCGAUUAGGGAAUGAACAUCCGACUCUUAAAUAUAUAUUUUGCACUAGAGAAUUUCUGGCUCAAUCCUUACACAUUAAUAUUUCUUCAUCUUCUGGGCAGCGAGCAUUAACCGGAACAUUGAAGAGAGAGGUGGUUUGGAAGUUGUCAGGCACCAUGAAAGAGUUACUGUUGUUUGCAUAUUCUGACCGAUUUGUACUCUCAGUUUCACUAUCCGGUUUGCUGCUUUUAACUUCAUCCUUUUGAUUUGGGACUUGGACUUGGCCUUGGGCCUUCCUGUUAAGAAGAAGAACAAGAAUUAGGAAUUGUAAACAAAUCGAAAAAAGAAAAAAUGAAUACAAAAUCUAGAUUCUAGAACUCUACCUUCUUCUAAGCCUUCUCCACUUUAGAUGGAGCAUGAAUUGAAUAUUGUCAAGGAGUUGGAAAUAUGCAUAUCUCCACGUCCUCUUGAGAAGCAAAGGGCAACAGAAUCCCAAUAACCCUACAAAGAAACCAAGCACAACGGAUAAGCCAAACCAUAGACUUUGAUCCUCAUCAUCAUCCAAAUCCUGGUUGUUCUCAUUCUCAUCUGCAUCAUUGCCAUUACUUGGCAAGCACUGGUUUGAAAGUGGGGCACCGCAAAGUUUCGGAUUCCCUUCGAAUGCAGAGACACUGAAGCCUUGGAGCUGAGUGCCGGCUGGUAUUGGUCCUUCAAGAUUAUUGUAUGCAACAGUAAAUGUAGACAAGAAAUGGAGAUUUGAUAGUGAUGAUGGGAUUUCGCCUGACAGAUGGUUACUGUUGAGUUCUAAUCUCUCCAACUUUGGGAGGUUGGCUAUUUGGUCUGGAAUGUUGCCGGAGAAGUUGUUGAUGCUGAGAUCCAGUUGUUGAAGAAAUUGCAAUUGGCCAAUCUCAAAGGGUAUGCUGCCGCUUAAAC